Molecule: unclassified non-coding RNA, 686 nt
Filed under: Bombus terrestris (buff-tailed bumblebee)
Lineage: Eukaryota; Metazoa; Arthropoda; Insecta; Hymenoptera; Apidae
Description: misc RNA ENSBTSG00005028832.1
Source: RNAcentral
CAGCCAUUGCAUCCAAGUCAACUGUUAUAUCUCCCGUUUCUAAGUUACCUGCAUACAAAUUACCAUCGUAAAUUAAAAAUAAUAAAUUAUUGCAUUCGUAAUUCGCGCAUGCAAUGGAAAAGAAUAUUAUUUUUAUCAAUUCUACAUAAUAAUUAUCAAUUGCAGAUCACUUCACUUUGCGUGAUGAACCAAUGGCACAAGGAGCAUUUUCAGUAUUUGAUAAAGCUCGACUUUGUGACUUCCUGACUCUAAUCGUGUCUCCCUCUAAUCGAUAUAGUUACACUGACCUUAAGUUCAUUGUUUUUAGAUCAAACAUGCCGUUGCUCUUAAACAACCAAGCCCGUGAUAAAUCUAGGGCAGCACCUUGAACACGAUAGGACUGGGAUAUUACAGUGCGUGACAUACUCCCUGUGUGGAACCAGAGACUUUACACACGGAUUCCGCUGAAUGCACUGGUAUUUCUGUUUCUACGUAUACAUAAGAAAUGUGCAAGGGUAAACCUUAACGAGCCAUUCCACUAUUACGUUUACUAUAAUCGAUUUAAUCAGUAGGAAGCAUGUUUGUCCAUAAAAACAUUUGCAUACUUUAAAUUAACAUGGAAUUUGCAAUUUUGCAUCUAUUAAUACUAAUUCUUACAAUGGAAGAAAAAUGGAUAAAUAAAUAUAAAAUAAAUGAAUGAAUAUAAA